CCCAAAAUGAUUAAUUUUUUCUCGCAACAGUUCUAUGUGAAUCAUCCUUUUAACAAUUUCUGGAAAACGGAUCACUUCUUGGAAUACAUUCACGCUUUCCUUUUCUUAAUUGAAAACAUUCUCGUUUCGCAGAACUUUAGCGAACAUUUUUUGGGGUGAUAUAUUUCUUGGCAAAAUGCAAGUUUAGGGUAAUAGAAUGAGAUGGGAUGACAGUUCGAAGUUCAUCGUUCAAUAGAGAUAACAUCUUUAAGAAAUCGAUUCCCAGCGACCUGGAAAACCGGGAAUAAUCUGGAAAUAUCAGGGAAAAUCUGAAAAAGUCCUGGAGAAAUUUCGGUUGUUCAUAAAUUUGAUAUUUGAAUUUUAUUCUUUUUCCUUAGCGAGAGAAAUUGUCGGAAACCGAACGAGUACCGAACGGCUGUGCUGAAUUAUCCCCGGGUGCACUUGGUUCGUCACCUUGUUUUUUCAUUCCUAGACGUAUUAUUUUUGUCAUCAUUUUCACUAUUGUUACGUUGCUCGGGCGAAUAAAAAUUGGCGUGGUGAUUAAUAAUCCCUGUUCCCGACGGUGGCCUCUAUUUAAACCUAUGCGUGCCUCCCGAUGGAUCCAGAACGCCGCUUCGAGAGAUUUCUGGGCCCGCAAUCGAGA
This is a long non-coding RNA of Zophobas morio, 643 nucleotides long. RefSeq lists it as uncharacterized. The record is from RefSeq and is a predicted model, not a curated record. Lineage: Eukaryota; Metazoa; Arthropoda; Insecta; Coleoptera; Tenebrionidae. The transcript has 3 exons.